CCUUGGUAUGGAAACCCACUGAGUGAUAACUUUCAAAUUCAGAGAAACCCUGGAAUUAAUAAAAGGGGGCAAUCCUGAGCCAAAUCCUAUUUUCCGAAAACAAAGGUUUAGAAAGUGAAAAAGGGGAUAGGUGCAGAGACUCAACGGAAGCUGUUCUAACAAAUGGAGUUGGCUGCGGUAGUAGAGAAAUCUUUCCAUCCAAAAUUCAGAUAGUAUUAAGGAUGAAGUGAAGGAUAAACGUAUAUACAUAACGUAUUGAAUACUAUUUUAAAUGAUUAAAUAAGUAAUGACCGCCCGAAUGAAUCUAUAUUUUUUCUAUGAAAAACGAAAGAAUUGGUGUGAAUAGAUUCUACGUUGAAGAAAGAAUCGAAUAUUCAUUGAUCAACUGAUUCACUCCAUAGUCUGAUAGAUCUUUUCAAGAACUGAUUAAUCUUAAUCGGACGAGAAUAAAGAUAGAGUCCCAUUCUACAUGUCAAUGCCGGCAACAAUGAAAUUUAUAGUUAAGAGGAAAAUCCGUCGACUUUUAAAAUCAUGAGGGUUCAAGUCCCUCUAUCCCCAAAAAGACUAUUUGACUUCCCAACUAUUUCCUCUUUUUGUUAGCGGUUCAAAAUUCCUUAUCCAUUCACCCUAUUCUCUUAGAAUUGAUCCGGGUGGAAAUGCCCUUAUUCUUAUCACAUCUAUAUGAUAUACAUACAAAUCAUACAAAUUAACAUCUUUGAGCAAGAAAUCCCCAUUUGAAUGAUUUACAAUCUAUCUAAUUACUCAUACUGAAACUUCCAAAGUCCUCUUUUUUAAGAUCCAAGCAAUUUCAGUACCUAAGUAAAACUUUGGAAUCCCCUUUCCUUCUUUUAUUUGACAUAGACCCCAUUUUCUAAUAAAAUGAAGAUGCUACAUUGGGACUGGUCGGGAUAGCUCAGCUGGUAGAGCAGAGGACUGAAAAUCCUCGUGUC
Molecule: unclassified non-coding RNA, 950 nt
Filed under: Ophiorrhiza mungos
Lineage: Eukaryota; Viridiplantae; Streptophyta; Magnoliopsida; Gentianales; Rubiaceae
Description: partial contains trnL gene and trnL-F intergenic spacer
Rfam family: Group I catalytic intron (bases 1-482)
About the family: Group I catalytic introns are large self-splicing ribozymes. They catalyse their own excision from mRNA, tRNA and rRNA precursors in a wide range of organisms.
Source: RNAcentral